RNAcentral lists this ribosomal RNA (403 nucleotides) under bacterium. RNAcentral's name for it is "partial 16S ribosomal RNA". It matches the Rfam family "Bacterial small subunit ribosomal RNA", at positions 355 to 776 of the family's 1533-position model. The record is from RNAcentral.
UGGGGAAUCUUGCACAAUGGGGGAAACCCUGAUCCAGCGACGCCGCGUGAACGAUGAAGGUCUUCGUAUCGUAAAGUUCUGUCCUUUGGGAAGAUAAUGACAGUACCAUAGAAGAAAGCUCCGGCUAAAUCCGUGCCAGCAGCCGCGGUAAUACGUAUGGAGCGAGCGUUGUCCGGAAUUAUUGGGCGUAAAGGGUACGCAGGCGGUUUAAUAAGUCGAAUGUUAAAGAUCGGGGCUCAACCCCGCAAAGCAUUGGAAACUGAUAGACUUGAGUAGUGGAGAGGAAAGUGGAAUUCCGAGUGUAGAGGUGAAAUACGUAGAUAUUAGGAGGAAUACCAGUGGCGAAGGCGACUUUCUGGACACAAACUGACGCUGAGGUGCGAAAGCGUGGGGAGCAAACAGG